UCCCAGUGUAAUCUAAAGGCUCUUAUUCUAUCCCUUUGUCUUCCAGGAAACGUCUGAAAUAAGCAUUGUGCUCUCUGGAGACAGGGGAAAGUCUUUUCAUCAUCCAAAGCCCUGGCAGUUCUUUCCAGGUGGCACAAAGGGAAACUUUACUAAUUCCUCACUCCUACCUACUACCUUAGAAGAAUGAAGCAGAAGCUCAGCUGAUGUAUCAAGUGGGCAUAAUGUGUAUAAUUGAGUGGAGCAGCACUGGGAAGCUGCUAUAUUUUUAGCUGUAGCUAAACUGCACACAAGCAUGGACAACUCGUUCUGACCAGUCCAGGUGGAAUCAAUGAAAGAUGAGGGAAAACAGAGAUCAACUUAAUUAAUCUAAGGCCUUACAUAUUAACUAUAACAGAUUUAGCAGUGUUAAGAGUACAUCUUUGUUUCCUUAGGAAUGUUUCUUGAGUCCUUACUCAAGAAAAAGUGGGGUUUUUUUCAGUUUUUGAAUA
Long non-coding RNA from Parus major (Great Tit), 488 nucleotides. RefSeq lists it as uncharacterized. NCBI's taxonomy places the organism in Eukaryota, Metazoa, Chordata, Aves, Passeriformes, Paridae. The transcript is spliced from 3 exons. The record is from RefSeq and is a predicted model, not a curated record.